This 497-nucleotide ribosomal RNA is filed under the name uncultured bacterium. Its description in RNAcentral is "bacterial SSU rRNA". It matches the Rfam family "Bacterial small subunit ribosomal RNA", at positions 29 to 526 of the family's 1533-position model. The record is from RNAcentral.
AACGAACGUUGGCGGCGUGGAUUAGGCAUGCAAGUCGAACGAAUCUCAGCAGUGUAGCAAUACAAGGCUGAGAAGAGUGGCGAAAGGGGCAGUAAUGUUUGGAUAACCUACCCUGAGGUCGUGGAUAGCCUUCCUAACGGAUGGGUAAUACACGGCGACGUAUUGAAGAGGCAUCUCUUUGUUACCAAAGAAUUUCGCCUCAGGAGGGGUCCAAAUGAUAUUAGCUAGUUGGUGAGGUAACGGCUCACCAAGGCGUAGAUGUCUAGCGGGUGUGAGAGCACGACCCGCGCCACUGGCACUGAGACACUGGCCAGACUCCUACGGGAGGCUGCAGUCGAGGAUCUUCGGCAAUGGGCGCAAGCCUGACCGAGCGACGCCGCGUGUGCGAUGAAGGCCUUCGGGUUGUAAAGCACUGUCGAGAGGGAGAAAGUCCGUAAGGAUUGAUCUAUCUCUGGAGGAAGCACGGGCUAAGUUCGUGCCAGCCGCCGCCGUAAAAC